This 231-nucleotide unclassified non-coding RNA is filed under the name plant metagenome. RNAcentral's name for it is "partial contains small subunit ribosomal RNA, internal transcribed spacer 1, and 5.8S ribosomal RNA". The record is from RNAcentral.
GCUCCGUUGGUGAACCAGCGGAGGGAUCAUUACAGAGUUGCAAAACUCCCAAACCAUUGUGAACGUUACCUAUCCCGUUGCUUCGGCGGGCGGCCCGGGCCCCGCGCCCGGCGCCCCCCGGCCCCCCGUGGGCGCCCGCCGGAGGUAAACCAAACCCUGGAAUUGCAUGGCCUCUCUGAGUCUUCUGUACUGAAUAAGUCAAAACUUUCAACAACGGAUCUCUUGGUUCUG